AGUACAUGCCGUAUUAAGGCGAAACCGCGAAUGGCUCAUUAAAUCAGUUAUGGUUCCUUGGAUCGUACCUUACUACUUGGAUAACUGUGGCAAUUCUAGAGCUAAUACAUGCAGCAGAGCUCCGACCUUCGGGGACGAGCGCUUUUAUUAGACCAAAACCAAUCGGGCCUCGUGUCCGUUCUACGUGGUGACUCUGUAUAACUUUGGGCUGAUCGCACGGGCUCGUCCCGGCGACGUAUCUUUCAAGUGUCUGCCUUAUCAACUGUCGAUGGUAGGUUACGCGCCUACCAUGGUCGUAACGGGUAACGGGGAAUCAGGGUUCGAUUCCGGAGAGGGAGCCUGAGAAACGGCUACCACAUCCAAGGAAGGCAGCAGGCGCGCAAAUUACCCACUCCCGGCUCGGGGAGGUAGUGACGAAAAAUAACAAUACGGGACUCUUUUGAGACCCCGUAAUUGGAAUGAGUACACUCUAAAUCCUUUAACGAGGAUCCAUUGGAGGGAAAGUCUGGUGCCAGCCGCCGCGGUAACUCCAGCUCCAAUAGCGUAUAUUAAAGUUGUUGCGGUUAAAAAGCUCGUAGUUGGAUCUCAGUUCCAGACGGGUGGUCCGCCUACCGGUGGUCACUGCCUGUUCUGAGCAUUGCCGCCGAAAUUGUCCGAUGAUCUUUACCGGUUGUCGUUCGGUUUCGGCAAUUUUACUUUGAAAAAAUUAGAGUGCUCAAAGCAUGCGUGACGCAUGAAUAAUGGUGCAUGGAAUAAUGGAAUAGGACCUCGGUUCUAUUUUGUUGGUUUUCGGAACACGAGGUAAUGAUUAAGAGGGACAGACGGGGGCAUUCGUAUUGCGACGCUAGAGGUGAAAUUCUUGGACCGUCGCAAGACGAACUACUGCGAAAGCAUUUGCCAAGAAUGUUUCCAUUAAUCAAGAACGAAAGUUAGAGGUUCGAAGGCGAUCAGAUACCGCCCUAGUUCUAACCAUAAACGAUGCCAGCCAGCGAUCCGGCUGUGUUCCUCAAAUGACACGCCGGGCAGCUUCCGGGAAACCAAAGCUUUUGGGUUCCGGGGGAAGUAUGGUUGCAAAGCUGAAACUUAAAGGAAUUGACGGAAGGGCACUACCAGAAAUGGAGCCUGCGGCUUAAUUUGACUCAACACGGGGAAGCUUACCUGGAUAGGACACAGGAAGGAUUGACGGAUUAAGAGCUCUUUCUUGAUUCUGUGGAAGGUGGUGC
RNAcentral lists this ribosomal RNA (1223 nucleotides) under Parasteatoda tepidariorum (common house spider). RNAcentral's name for it is "SSU rRNA". It matches the Rfam family "Eukaryotic small subunit ribosomal RNA", at positions 62 to 1283 of the family's 1831-position model. The record is from RNAcentral. Lineage: Eukaryota; Metazoa; Arthropoda; Arachnida; Araneae; Theridiidae.